GACGAACGCUGGUGGCGUGCUUAACACAUGCGAGUCGAACGGAAAGGCCCUGCUUUUGUGGGGUGCUCGAGUGGCGAACGGGUGAGUAACACGUGAGUAACCUGCCCUUGACUUUGGGAUAACUUCAGGAAACUGGGGCUAAUACCGGAUAGGAGCUCCUGCUGCAUGGUGGGGGUUGGAAAGUUUCGGCGGUUGGGGAUGGACUCGCGGCUUAUCAGCUUGUUGGUGGGGUAGUGGCUUACCAAGGCUUUGACGGGUAGCCGGCCUGAGAGGGUGACCGGCCACAUUGGGACUGAGAUACGGCCCAGACUCCUACGGGAGGCAGCAGUGGGGAAUAUUGCACAAUGGGCGGAAGCCUGAUGCAGCAACGCCGCGUGCGGGAUGACGGCCUUCGGGUUGUAAACCGCUUUCGCCUGUGACGAAGCGUGAGUGACGGUAAUGGGUAAAGAAGCACCGGCUAACUACGUG
Molecule: ribosomal RNA, 468 nt
Filed under: uncultured bacterium
Lineage: Bacteria
Description: partial 16S ribosomal RNA
Rfam family: Bacterial small subunit ribosomal RNA
Source: RNAcentral